This 396-nucleotide RNase P RNA is filed under the name Ciceribacter sp. L1K23. RNAcentral's name for it is "RNase P RNA component class A". It matches the Rfam family "Bacterial RNase P class A". From Rfam's summary of the family: Ribonuclease P (RNase P) is a ubiquitous endoribonuclease, found in archaea, bacteria and eukarya as well as chloroplasts and mitochondria. Its best characterised activity is the generation of mature 5'-ends of tRNAs by cleaving the 5'-leader elements of precursor-tRNAs. Lineage: Bacteria; Pseudomonadati; Pseudomonadota; Alphaproteobacteria; Hyphomicrobiales; Rhizobiaceae. The record is from RNAcentral.
CCAGUCGGCCGGGCAGCCGCGCUCCACCAAUGCCGAAAGGCGGUGGGGUGAGGAAAGUCCGGGCUCCACGGAAACACGGUGCCGGAUAACGUCCGGCGAGGGCGACCUCAGGGAAAGUGCCACAGAAAGCAAACCGCCCCGUCUUCGGGGUAAGGGUGAAAGGGUGGGGUAAGAGCCCACCGCGGACCUGGCGACAGGGACGGCAUGGUAAACCCCACCGGGAGCAAGACCGAAUAGGGAUGACGCGGCGCGGGGCAACCCGAGCCAGCCGGUUUCCGGGCCAGUCAUCCGGGUGGGUUGCACGAGGCAGCGCGCAAGUGCUGUCCCAGAUGAAUGGCUGCCACGUUCCGGGAAACCGGGGCCAUACAGAACCCGGCUUACAGGCCGACUGGCGAU